UGGGGAAUAUUGCACAAUGGGCGCAAGCCUGAUGCAGCCAUGCCGCGUGUAUGAAGAAGGCCUUCGGGUUGUAAAGUACUUUCAGCGGGGAGGAAGGGAGUAAAGUUAAUACCUUUGCUCAUUGACGUUACCCGCAGAAGAAGCACCGGCUAACUCCGUGCCAGCAGCCGCGGUAAUACGGAGGGUGCAAGCGUUAAUCGGAAUUACUGGGCGUAAAGCGCACGCAGGCGGUCUGUCAAGUCGGAUGUGAAAUCCCCGGGCUUAACCUGGGAACUGCAUUCGAAACUGGCAGGCUAGAGUCUUGUAGAGGGGGGUAGAAUUCCAGGUGUAGCGGUGAAAUGCGUAGAGAUCUGGAGGAAUACCGGUGGCGAAGGCGGCCCCCUGGACAAAGACUGACGCUCAGGUGCGAAAGCGUGGGGAGCAAACAGG
Molecule: ribosomal RNA, 429 nt
Filed under: Chloroflexota bacterium
Lineage: Bacteria; Bacillati; Chloroflexota
Description: Chloroflexi bacterium partial 16S ribosomal RNA
Rfam family: Bacterial small subunit ribosomal RNA
Source: RNAcentral